GUCGUGUUCACACGACGAUACCGCGGACGGCUCAUUAAAUCAGUCGUGGUCUAAAUGGGUCCGUCCUCACGGUAUACUUGGAUAACCGUGGUAAUUCCAGAGCUAAUACAUGCAACUCAUAUCCCGAGGUGCGCAAGCACCGACGGAAGCACUUAUUAGACCAAUGCCCUCGGCACCGCGCACCUUGCGUGCGCGCGUCGCCACUCGCAUAAAUGGUGACUCUGGAUAAUUACCUGGACGAGCGCACGUAUCUGUUCAAGCAGAACGGCGCCGCCUCUUUCGAGUGUCUGCCUUAUCAGCCAUCAAUCGCUCGUUAUGUGCGAACGAUGGCCUUGACGGGUAACGGGGAAUCAGUGUUCGAUUCCGGAGAGGCAGCCUGAGAAACGGCUACCACGUCUAAGGACGGCAGCAGGCACGCAAAUUACCCAAUCCCAGAACUCUGGGGAGGUAGUGACGAAAAAUAACGAUGUGGGCGCUCCUUCUGGGGCCCCACAAUCGGAAUGAGUAUGUCUUAAAUAACCUGUCGAGAACCCACUGAAGGGCAAGUCUGGUGCCAGCAGCCGCGGUAAUUCCAGCUUCAGUAGCAUCUAUUAAAGUUGCUGCGGUUAAAAGGCUCGCAGUUGGAGCCACUGGUGUUUGGUAUAUGGAGCAGCUGGACGUUGGGUUCCUUCGUGUCCCCGUCCUGCUUGUCUGCUCCUGACUCUAUGGCACUGAAUAUGGAAAAACCUUCGCCGGUUUGAGCGUUUGCUCAGAGUGUUCGGGGGGGAUUCGUGGGGCCUGUGUUGCUUUCGGGCUCGCGGUGUCCCUGCGUUUCUCUUUUCCCGCCUCUGUGCUCUUACUUGGUGGGGGUGACUUCUGUGUCACCUUGAGUAAAUCAUGGUGCUCACAGCAGUCGUGCGGGCCUUGUGCCCUGUGAACAGUCUAUGCGGACUGAAUUGGUUUUGCAAGGCAUGACGAAACAUGACGUCGCUGCUGGUCGCGGGUGUGGGGCACGUCUGGUCUUCGCGGGCCGGGCGUUGCUCAGCGGUUUGCCAGUAGUGACGUAAUGAUCAAUGGAGACGGUAGCUGGCAUUGGUAUUGCGCGGCGAGAGGUGAAAUUCUGCGACCCCCGCAAGACCUCCUAAAGCGAAGGCGUCUGCCAAGGACG
RNAcentral lists this ribosomal RNA (1147 nucleotides) under Chiltoniidae sp. S16_24. Its description in RNAcentral is "SSU rRNA". It matches the Rfam family "Eukaryotic small subunit ribosomal RNA", at positions 69 to 966 of the family's 1831-position model. Lineage: Eukaryota; Metazoa; Arthropoda; Malacostraca; Amphipoda; Chiltoniidae. The record is from RNAcentral.